Molecule: ribosomal RNA, 301 nt
Filed under: uncultured bacterium
Lineage: Bacteria
Description: partial 16S ribosomal RNA
Rfam family: Bacterial small subunit ribosomal RNA
Source: RNAcentral
CAGCCGCCACGGUAAUACGGAGGGUGCAAGCGUUAAUCGGAAUUACUGGGCGUAAAGCGUGCGUAGGCGGUUCGUUAAGUCUGUUGUGAAAGCCCCGGGCUCAACCUGGGAAUGGCAAUGGAUACUGGCGAGCUAGAGUGUGUCAGAGGAUGGUGGAAUUCCCGGUGUAGCGGUGAAAUGCGUAGAGAUCGGGAGGAACAUCAGUGGCGAAGGCGGCCAUCUGGGACAACACUGACGCUGAGGCACGAAAGCGUGGGGAGCAAACAGGAUUAGAUACCCGCGUAGUCCCUGUCUCUUAUAC